GCCAGGUGCAAUGGUUCGUGCCUGUAGUCCCAGCAACUCAGGAGGCUGAGGUGGGAGAUCGCUUGAGCCCAGGAGUUCUGGGCUGUAGUGCACUAUGGUGAUCGGGUGUCUGCACCAAGUUCGGCAUCGAUAUGGUGACCUCCCAGCAGUGAGGGACCACCAGGUUGCCUAAGGAGGGGUGAACCGGCCCAGGUCAGAAUCGGAGCACGUCAAAAUUCCUGCGCUGAUCAGUAGUGGGAUCGUGCCUGUGAAUAGCCACUGCACUCCAGCCUGGGCAACAUAGUGAGACCCCAUCUCU
Molecule: signal recognition particle RNA, 298 nt
Filed under: Saimiri boliviensis boliviensis (Bolivian squirrel monkey)
Lineage: Eukaryota; Metazoa; Chordata; Mammalia; Primates; Cebidae
Description: Metazoan signal recognition particle RNA (ENSSBOG00000007937.1)
Rfam family: Metazoan signal recognition particle RNA
About the family: The signal recognition particle (SRP) is a universally conserved ribonucleoprotein. It is involved in the co-translational targeting of proteins to membranes. The eukaryotic SRP consists of a 300-nucleotide 7S RNA and six proteins: SRPs 72, 68, 54, 19, 14, and 9.
Source: RNAcentral